Molecule: long non-coding RNA, 1808 nt
Filed under: Manihot esculenta (cassava)
Lineage: Eukaryota; Viridiplantae; Streptophyta; Magnoliopsida; Malpighiales; Euphorbiaceae
Description: long non-coding RNA (MESC_LNC005571)
Source: RNAcentral
UCAUCUUCGUUUGCAUCUCCAAGAGCUGCUUCUUUCAAGUACUUGUCUGCCAAUUGGACUCUCUUCACAUUCUCUUGCUCCAUCACAAGCAUGUUACCAUAUUCAAGGAGGUUCUCAAGAGUCAUCUUUGGUUGGUCAAAAGUUGGAGGUCCUUCCAAUGAAUUAACGAGCUUCUUCCCAACAUUUUCUACGCCCACUGUGGCAAUCCACUUCUUCACUUCAUCAUCGUAUACUCUGGAUCUGACAGCACCAAAGAAAUCUACAAGCAAACAUAGAUAGCAAUAUCGAUCAUUUAGCUCCAAUUAUCCCAAAAUCAAACCCAGAUUCACAGCUGCAUUCGGCAUUUUUCUUGGUGUAAAAGAGAAAGCAGCAGAGAGCUUACCAAUGGACUGUCCAGGGAAAGUAUCGACAAGCUUUACAAUGUCCUCUUUGGGAACAUCGUCAGUCCUGAAAAUCCCUGUGCACACACCAAUCCGAUCUUCUCGAGUGGGAGCCCAGUAGAAUUUCUCCAUACGACCAUCACGGAUGAGUGGCGCAUACAAUGUGGAGAAGUCAUUUCCUGUAACUAUUAUAGGAACUCGGGGGUUUUCCUCUUUGUUGUACAUACCAGGAAGCUGGACGUUGGUCGGAUUAUCGGCGAUGUUCAUCAGCGUCGCAUUCACCAUCUGAUUGUUGACUGUGUAUUGGGUGGUUCCACCUAGCCUACCCGCUCCAGCAUCUAGAUCGUUGAUGAAGAGGCAACACAUCUUCCCCUUCUUUUUAAUGAUGUCUGCUGCCUCGCGAUAUCUUUGUCUGAUCAAUUUCGCAGGCUCUCCGGCAUUCCCACUUUCUAACUCCCCAGCACUCAUCACGAUGGGGCUGAAUGUUCAUCAACAUUGCAACAUCUAAUUAAUCUCGAGAAAUUUUGCAAUGAUGUCAAAUUAUAUGUUAUGAAAAGAGCGAAAUAAGAUCGAGUCUCACUUGAUUCCCAUCUUGGCAAAAACAAGCUCACAUUGGAAUGAUUUUCCUUGACCUUUGCCUCCCCAGAUACCCAAGAUGAGUGGAACCUGAGUCAAUUAUCAGCGAGUCAUUCAAUUUUCCCUUUCCCAUUUAUUAUUUUCUUGAAAAAUAACAGUACUCAACUCGACUAACCUUAAUAUUUGGGAGGUUCAAGAAGUUCUUGGUGAUGUGAACAACGACCUUGUCCAUGAAUGCAGGCGCAAUGUAGAAACCAUCCAUACUAUUGUCCAGGUUGUAUCUGUAAAACAACUAAACAUGUUCAAAAUUCCAUGCCGAAAUCGAGCAGAAAUAUCAUCGAACUACCAGAUCAAGUGAAUAUAGUUGCUUACUGGCGAAGACCUUGACUGAUAUAGUCAUAGGAAGUCAUGAUUGGGUUGUGAGUUCCUGUUCCCAUGGGAGCUUGGAAGAGAGAAUCUACCAUUCCUUUUCCUCUAGUAAUAUCUUGCUGAUCAUCAGAUGAAUCAGUUACAAGACCUCCCCACCUGUCUUUGGAGGUCUGCUUCUGCUCGUCAUAUUCGGCAGCAACCUUGAAAUUCCCUGACAACAACUUCUGGUUAUUGAUCUUGGAAUUAAGCUUCUUCAAGCUGCUGCCAAAGAAUGCUGAGCUAGGCACUGAAGGUCCUGCACCUGCACCAUUCAAAUUCAACUGCACAAAACACACUCCCUUCUUAGUAAUCAAAGAACCACAAAAUUGAAAAGCAAGUACAGACUCCAUAGCUUCAAUUGAAUUUGAGCACCAGCAUACUUAAAUUAUCACCAAAUAAAACUACAGAAACCCAAUUUUCAGCUUCGAAUAGCUUGAAGUGAGA